UUGGUUUACGAUUUUCGUAGAAUCUUAAAUGGUUUUAAUGUGGCAUAGCUAGGAAUUUUUAUCCUAACAUUCUUUUGUUCACCGUUCAUGUUAUUUUAUGAUAAAUUCGUAACUGUUUUUAUCUCGUAUUUGAUUACAAAUGAGUCUCGGUCUAAAAGAUAAUUAGAAUUCCAGAACUAAAGGCUGCAUCUUAUUUGCCGACUUAAAGCAAUGGAAUGUCCAUUGAAUCCAGCCAUUGCCGAAGGUGCCGCCAUUGAUGUUUGUUAUUUCAGAAUCCAGAUCAAGUUACUUUAGAGGAAGAACAUUAGCGUUUCAUGUAGACAUGUGCCCAUUCAUGGAAGAAAAUGAUUGCGUGAAAUGGCUAUCUCUUGUCGACGGAACUUCGUCAUUAAAUGAUUAAAUCAUGUCUUGGAUAAAGAAUUUUCUCUGGAAGGUCCUUAAUUGUAUCCUGAUUGCUGCUAGGUUUUCACGUUUUUAAAAUAAAAUUCCGAAUUAGAGCACAAUUUGACUUCUGAAGAUUUGACUAGCUGUUGGAUGUUGUUUGGUUCCGCUAUAAUGUUGAUGUAUUGUUUGGUUAUGCUCAUGCCAAUAUUUGAUUUACUUGUAACUUUCCCUCAUCAAGAAAUCUGCACCUUACAAGAAAUCAUAAUAUUUUUUUCCUGAAUUCUACUCAAAUUGGAUUCUUGAGAGGAGGCUUCUACAAAUAGAUGAAGCUGUUGAUGGAUUAGAAAGCUACAAAGACGCUUUUUCUCUAUUACGGACAUGACGUUCUUCUCUUACUAUGCAGAAACUGCCAUUCGGUUCGAAGUGCAUGUAUGGAUCUUCACCGUUUAUCAUAAUAUCCAAAUUAAUACCUAUUCAAUGAUUGCGAGAAAUAGUUACGGUAACCUCAUAAUCCACAUUGCCAUCCGUUUGCUGAAUUAUGUGACCUCAUCUUUCAUGAACGACUACCUUUUAUGAUAUUGAAGUCAACUAGU
This is a long non-coding RNA of Argiope bruennichi, 977 nucleotides long. RefSeq lists it as uncharacterized. The record is from RefSeq and is a predicted model, not a curated record. The transcript is spliced from 5 exons. NCBI's taxonomy places the organism in Eukaryota, Metazoa, Arthropoda, Arachnida, Araneae, Araneidae.